UACGUAGGUGGCAAGCGUUGUCCGGAAUUAUUGGGCGUAAAGCGCGCGCAGGCGGUCCUUUAAGUCUGAUGUGAAAGCCCACGGCUCAACCGUGGAGGGUCAUUGGAAACUGGGGGACUUGAGUGCAGGAGAGAAGAGUGGAAUUCCACGUGUAGCGGUGAAAUGCGUAGAGAUGUGGAGGAACACCAGUGGCGAAGGCGACUCUUUGGCCUGUAACUGACGCUGAGGCACGAAAGCGUGGGUAGCAAACAGG
This 253-nucleotide ribosomal RNA is filed under the name uncultured bacterium. Its description in RNAcentral is "partial 16S ribosomal RNA". It matches the Rfam family "Bacterial small subunit ribosomal RNA", at positions 524 to 776 of the family's 1533-position model. The record is from RNAcentral.